GGCGGACGGGUGAGUAACACGUGGGCAACCUGCCUUAGUGAGGGGGAUAGCCUUCCGAAAGGAAGAUUAAUACCGCAUAAAGUAUCAGAGUCACAUGGCUUUGAUAAAAAAGGAGAAAUCCGCACUAAGAUGGGCCCGCGGCGCAUUAGCUAGUUGGAGAGGUAACGGCUCACCAAGGCGACGAUGCGUAGCCGACCUGAGAGGGUGAACGGCCACAUUGGAACUGAGAAACGGUCCAGACUCCUACGGGAGGCAGCAGUGGGGAAUAUUGCACAAUGGAGGAAACUCUGAUGCAGCAACGCCGCGUGAGUGAAGAAGGUCUUCGGAUUGUAAAGCUCUGUUAAUCGGGACGAAAAAUGACGGUACCGAUAGAGGAAGCCACGGCUAACUACGUGCCAGCAGCCGCGGUAAUACGUAGGUGGCGAGCGUUGUCCGGAAUUACUGGGCGUAAAGGAUGCGUAGGUGGAUAAUUAAGUCAGAUGUGAAAAUCCCGGGCUCAACUUGGGAACUGCAUUUGAAACUGGAUAUCUAGAGUGCAGGAGAGGAAAGCGGAAUUCCUAGUGUAGCGGUGAAAUGCGUAGAUAUUAGGAAGAACACCAGUGGCGAAGGCGGCUUUCUGGACUGUAACUGACACUGAGGCAUGAAAGCGUGGGGAGCAAACAGGAUUAGAUACCCUGGUAGUCCACGCUGUAAACGAUGGGUACUAGGUGUGGGAGGUAUCGACUCCUUCCGUGCCGCAGUUAACACAAUAAGUACCCCGCCUGGGGAGUACGAUGGCAACAUUAAAACUCAAAGGAAUUGA
RNAcentral lists this ribosomal RNA (802 nucleotides) under uncultured bacterium. Its description in RNAcentral is "bacterial SSU rRNA". It matches the Rfam family "Bacterial small subunit ribosomal RNA", at positions 97 to 913 of the family's 1533-position model. The record is from RNAcentral.